GGGUCAGUAGGUUGGUCGUGCCACCGGUACGUACUGGUCUCACUGAUUCCUCCUUCCUGAAGAACCGUAAUGCCAUUAAUUCGGUGUUGCGGGGAAACAGGACUGUUACUUUGAAAAAAUUAGGGUGUUUAAAGCAAGCUAACGCUUGAAUACAUUAGCAUGGAAUAAUGAAAUAGGACGAUCGAUCCUAUUUUGUUGGUUUCUAGGAUUGACGUA
RNAcentral lists this ribosomal RNA (216 nucleotides) under Glomeromycotina sp. RNAcentral's name for it is "partial small subunit ribosomal RNA". The stretch from base 87 to 216 matches the Rfam family "Eukaryotic small subunit ribosomal RNA", at positions 733 to 864 of the family's 1831-position model. The record is from RNAcentral. Lineage: Eukaryota; Fungi; Glomeromycota.